Molecule: ribosomal RNA, 427 nt
Filed under: uncultured bacterium
Lineage: Bacteria
Description: partial 16S ribosomal RNA
Rfam family: Bacterial small subunit ribosomal RNA
Source: RNAcentral
UGGGGAAUAUUGCACAAUGGGCGCAAGCCUGAUGCAGCCAUGCCGCGUGUAUGAAGAAGGCCUUCGGGUUAUAAAGUACUUUCAGCGGGGAGGAAGGUGUUGUGGUUAAUAACCACAGCAAUUGACGUUACCCGCAGAAGAAGCACCGGCUAACUCCGUGCCAGCAGCAGCGGUAAUACGGAGGGGGCAAGCGUUAAUCGGAAUUACUGGGCGUAAAGCGCACGCAGGCGGUCUGUCAAGUCGGAUGUGAAAUCCCCGGGCUCAACCUGGGAACUGCAUCCGAAACUGGCAGGCUUGAGUCUUGUAGAGGGGGGUAGAAUUCCAGGUGUAGCGGUGAAAUGCGUAGAGAUCUGGAGGAAUACCGGUGGCGAAGGCGGCCCCCUGGACAAAGACUGACGCUCAGGUGCGAAAGCGUGGGGAGCAAACA